Molecule: transfer RNA, 71 nt
Filed under: Ictidomys tridecemlineatus (thirteen-lined ground squirrel)
Lineage: Eukaryota; Metazoa; Chordata; Mammalia; Rodentia; Sciuridae
Description: Spermophilus tridecemlineatus (thirteen-lined ground squirrel) tRNA
Rfam family: tRNA
About the family: Transfer RNA (tRNA) molecules are approximately 80 nucleotides in length. Their secondary structure includes four short double-helical elements and three loops (D, anti-codon, and T loops).
Source: Rfam by way of RNAcentral
GGGGUUGUGGCUCAGCGGUAGAGCAUUUGCCUAGUACAUUUGAGGCCCUGGGUUUGAUCCUCAGCACCCCA